This 635-nucleotide ribosomal RNA is filed under the name uncultured Actinomycetes bacterium. Its description in RNAcentral is "bacterial SSU rRNA". It matches the Rfam family "Bacterial small subunit ribosomal RNA", at positions 83 to 719 of the family's 1533-position model. Lineage: Bacteria; Bacillati; Actinomycetota; Actinomycetes. The record is from RNAcentral.
CCCUGGGGCAGAGCCGCGAACGGGUGAGUAACACGUGGGUUACCUGCCUCGAUGACCGGGACAACCCGAGGAAACUCGGGCUAAUACCGGAUGUGCCCGCAAGGGGAAAGGAAGCUUCGGCCUCCGCAUCGAGAUGGGCCCGCGGCCCAUUAGCUUGUUGGUGAGGUAACGGCUCACCAAGGCUGCGAUGGGUAGCUGGUCUGAGAGGACGAUCAGCCACACUGGGACUGAGACACGGCCCAGACUCCUACGGGAGGCAGCAGUGGGGAAUCUUGCGCAAUGCGCGAAAGCGUGACGCAGCAACGCCGCGUGGGGGAAGAAGGCUUUCGGGUUGUAAACCCCUUUCAGUUGGGACGAAGCUUCGCCGGUGAAUAGCCGGCUGGAGUGACGGUACCUUCACAAGAAGCACCGGCUAACUACGUGCCAGCAGCCGCGGUAAUACGUAGGGUGCAAGCGUUGUCCGGAAUUAUUGGGCGUAAAGAGCGUGUAGGCGGCUUGAUAAGUCUGCUGUGAAAGUCCAGGGCUCAACCCUGGAAAGCCGGUGGAUACUGUCAAGCUAGAGUCCGGAAGGGGCGAGUGGAAUUCCUGGUGUAGCGGUGAAAUGCGCAGAUAUCAGGAGGAACACCAAUGGCGAA